Molecule: non-coding RNA, 1023 nt
Organism: Puma concolor (puma)
Lineage: Eukaryota; Metazoa; Chordata; Mammalia; Carnivora; Felidae
Source: RefSeq, a predicted model, not a curated record
CCAUCCAUCACACCCGACUGGUGCAGUGUCACCCUGGAGUGCCACGCCCCGGGAACCAGAGAGGACGUGAAUGUGUCCUGGGAGAGCAAGGGCCUCCCCAGGCAGCUGGAGCAGAGAGGGGUCCCAGGACCGGCCCCCAACCCCUGGACCGUGGCUCUGAAGCUGCCCCUGAGCCAGCCCAGCCCCAGCAUCACCUGUGUGGUCAGCAACCCGGGGGACCGGAAAACUGCCACCCGGGACCUUGGGGAAGUCUGUGGCCACGGUCCACAUGGGCCGGACGGGUCUGCCCACCUGCCAGCUAUCCUGGGGGCUCUUGUGGUCGUGCUGCUGAUCCUCGGAGCUGGACUGUACCUUCUGUGCUCGCGUAGGAGGAAGCAGAGCUUGGAGCCUGGGAGAGGCAGGGUCCCAGGAAGAGCACAGGGACCAUGAUGAUGGCGUCCAGUAUGCAGAGCUGAGCCAGCAGACUUCCAGGGAGAACAGGGACCAGGGUUCGGGGGAACCACAUCUCGAACAGGAGACACCGCUCACGACAGUCUACAGUGAGGUCCGCCACCCAGGCCAGGGCUUGAGGGUGAUUUAACUGGAAGAAGCAGGGAAUCCAGCCUCCCCCCCGACACCUCUGUUGUGCGCGUGAUGCCUGCGGCCCUGGUCCUGCCCCCUCCCCCUCUGACUGCUCUCAGCAGGGACCGGAUUCAUCCAACCUCCGUGAAUCUCUAUGCGGACACGUUGUGCCCAAGUUGAGCAGAAGACACACAUCGCGGCAGAUGGAGGGGGACCUUCGUCGUUAAACGAGUCCAAAGCUGUGGUCCGGUUCUGCUCAGCCUCAGCCCCUUUGGCAACCGUCAACGGAGCCCACUCUCCCCACGUCUGUGCCCCGUCCGUCAUCCUGUCCGGACCCUCUGCCUCUGGGACCCAUCGACAUGAAGUCUCAACUUCUAGCCUCGACCGGUUCACCACCAGCCGGCUCAGUCUGUGCUUGAGAGCUGUGUAAAGAGAAUACAAAGUCGCACAGCCAGGGCUCGC